CCGUUUAAUUAUACCUCCCGUUUGCGGGUACGCGCGUAUUAAAUUAUACGAAUGAAUGGCCGAGUAUUAAUUGCGUGUUCGGGAGGAAUUCGCAAUGAGUUCAGCAAAAGUUCGUCGAUUGUGCUCGCUGAUAAAUCACCAUCGGAAUAAAACAGAAGCCACGCGUUUCAAUCAAUAAAAUUGUCGGGCGUUAGACAGCAAAGCUCGCAAAAAACACAAUAUAUAAUAGCAGCCUAACCUAGAAACUUUAGACUUCUAUAAGCCAGUCACUGGAUGGCAGGUGACACGAGACCGUUAUACUGGAGAACACAUUCAAGUAGAGCACAAUAUGGAGCACAAUCGGUUUUCCUUCGUCGGUCAACACUCUGCACUUUAUGCCUCAUGAACUGUUUUGCAUUAGCAAUCUGUUUUAACGCGCUCCUUAAUGUUAUAACUUAAAUUGUAAUCAUUCAAAUUUUCUACCUAAUUUUACUGAAUGAGAACAUGAAUCAGGAUAUUACAGUUUAUCAAUAAAUAUUUACCGCUUUGAUGGGUGAGUGUCUCCGACAAGUACAAUAAAAAGUAUUUUGUUUCCGCGUUGAAAAAAUUGUCGAUUUUAAGAGCAUAUUAAACUUCCUGUUUCCUGUA
Long non-coding RNA from Dalotia coriaria, 627 nucleotides. RefSeq lists it as uncharacterized. NCBI's taxonomy places the organism in Eukaryota, Metazoa, Arthropoda, Insecta, Coleoptera, Staphylinidae. The record is from RefSeq and is a predicted model, not a curated record. The transcript has 2 exons.